GUCUACGGCCAUACCACCCUGAACGCACCCGAUCUCGUCUGAUCUCAGAAGCUAAGCAGGGUCGGGGCCUGGUUAGUACUUGGAUGGGAGAAAACUAUAUUGUAUGGU
This 108-nucleotide ribosomal RNA is filed under the name Mustela putorius furo (domestic ferret). The record is from RNAcentral. Lineage: Eukaryota; Metazoa; Chordata; Mammalia; Carnivora; Mustelidae.